RNAcentral lists this microRNA (25 nucleotides) under Tribolium castaneum (red flour beetle). RNAcentral describes it as "tca-miR-3877-3p". The record is from miRBase by way of RNAcentral. Lineage: Eukaryota; Metazoa; Arthropoda; Insecta; Coleoptera; Tenebrionidae.
AACCAAGUGAGUUGUCACUGGAAGG